UUGCUUUGCUUCAAUGAAUUGAAACCUUUUCUGAAGGCAACUGCCAAUGGAUAUUCUCUGCAAAAGCAGGUAUGGAAUGCUGGUCUGAGGGUUCUCUAUGCUAUAGGACAAUGGCCAGGCAAUACUCAUGAUGCAUUUAUAUGGAGUGGACUGAAACAAAAUCUAGAUAGUAUUUUGUCGCAUCGUGCAUAUCUUUGGGAGAUAGUGGAUUAUAUUCCCAUUUUAUCACGGGAAUAUCUCUAUAAUGAGAAGCACAGAAAAGUUCGUGCAGCUAUAGAGAUCAAAUCAAGAUUUAGGGACUGGAACAAUUCGUUACAC
Molecule: long non-coding RNA, 318 nt
Organism: Stegodyphus dumicola
Lineage: Eukaryota; Metazoa; Arthropoda; Arachnida; Araneae; Eresidae
Source: RefSeq, a predicted model, not a curated record